Molecule: ribosomal RNA, 360 nt
Filed under: Agaricales sp. MES-2013
Lineage: Eukaryota; Fungi; Basidiomycota; Agaricomycetes; Agaricales
Description: LSU rRNA
Rfam family: Bacterial large subunit ribosomal RNA
Source: RNAcentral
AAGAGGUACCGUAAAAUUGUAACUUAAAUAAUAAGUAAAAUUAUUAAAUUAAAAAAUGAUAAUACGGUGGCACAUAAUCGGAGGCCACGACUGUUUACUAAAAACACAACACAGUGCAAUCAUUAAUAUGAUAGUAUACUGUGUGAAAUUUGCCCGAUGCCAUUAAUAUAAGAGCGGUUAUAGGAAACUGUGACUAAUCGAAAAUCUGGUUAAUAGCGGUCUUAACUAUGAGGAUCCUAAGGUAGCAAAAUCAAUUGGCCAUUAAAUGUGGUCCGGUAUCAAUAAUGUAACGAUGGCCUCACUGUCUCUACAACUUGCUCAGUGAAAUUGAAUUACGCGUGCAGAUGCGCGUUACCUCCA